This is a long non-coding RNA of Triplophysa rosa, 2184 nucleotides long. RefSeq lists it as uncharacterized. The transcript has 3 exons. NCBI's taxonomy places the organism in Eukaryota, Metazoa, Chordata, Actinopteri, Cypriniformes, Nemacheilidae. The record is from RefSeq and is a predicted model, not a curated record.
GCCACGGACAGUUAACAUAUGCGCACUGUUGCCACGUUCAGACGUCGACGUCUCGACCUGCGUGAAGUUGGCCCCCCACCCAACGCAAAACAUUUGCAAAAUAGGCUCAAUCGUUUGUGCUCCGUUUGUGCUGGUUUGUGCCGUAAAAAUUUUCGUUUGUGCUGCUUCAGUUUUUUAGAUAAUAGAAGAAUAAUUAUAGGUCAUUCGGAGGUCACUUAUCCCCCCGACAUGCUCCAAAAUCACCGCAAAUAGUCUCGCUUGUUUCUGCUCCGUUUGUGCUGGUUUGUGCCGCGAAAAGUUUCGUUUGUGCUGCUUCGGUUUUUUUAAUAUUACACAUUGAAUUAUAGGCGAUGACGUCAUCAGCCCCCCGACAUGCUCCAAACUCAUCCAAAAUAGGCUCAAUCGUUUGUGCUCCGUUUGUGCUGGUUUGUGCCGUAAAACAUUUCGUUUGUGCUGCUUCAGUUUUUUUAAUAUUAGACAUUGAAUUAUAGGCGAUGACGUCAUCAGCCCACCGACAUGCUCCAAACUCGUCCAAAAUAGGCUCAAUCGUUUGUGCUCCGUUUGUGCCGAUAAAAGUAUCCUUUCUGCGACUGUCUUUAACUAUACAGUCGAGGUAUAAAGGUAAAACCAAAACGACCCACCAAAUCACAUUUGUUACCUAUCACUCUGCGUUUUCAAGUUUAAACGGACACAGCGGAUCACAGAAUGUGUGGAAUGUAAUACAAACUACAAGAUCCACCCUCACCUGUUCAUCUACCUUUUAACAAUAAACCCUGGAACUGAUUCUGAAUGCUGCAAUCCAGUGAUCUGACAGACAAACCAGAAGAUAGGCUUGAGAUUUUAAACUAUUCUUACACUUUUUUACAUAUUUUACACAUAGUUUGUUUGUAUAUACUGUACGUAUAUAUAGUGGUCAAAAGUUUACAUACACUGCAGACUCUGGAAAAUGUUGAACAUUUAAGAAGGGCAAGUAUUUUGAAAAUAAAGGUUUGUUUUUAAUUUUAUCCUGAGUUUGUUUGUCCUGGACUGUCCACUGAUCGUCAGAAAGAUCAUACAGGUCCUGCAUAAUAUUUGCAUUUUCAGCAUCUUCUGCAUUUUUAACCCCUGUCCAGCAGUGACUAUAUUAGCCACAAACAUUUAAACAGUGAUACUCAAAGAAGUGAACACCUUACACUAAAACUCGAGCCCAAGAUUACACUCAUUGGUGUAAAUUGUUAUUACUUUGUCUUCUGGAAAACACACACACACACACGCACGCACGCACGCACGCACACAUAUAUAUAUAUAUAUAUAUAUAUUAGCUUAUGAAGGACAUUACUAAAUAAAAAAAUAAUUUGAAACAAAAUAAUAAUGUAUGCUGAUCACUUAGUCCAAAGAUUACAUACACCUGCUUUUAAAUGUAUGGUGUUGACGUUUCGAGCAUCACUGAAUGUUUUUUUGUAAUAGUUUUGUAUGAGUUUCUCGAUUGUCCUCAUUGCUGGACAGAAGUCAAAGUUUCUGCAGGACCUUUAUGAACUUUCUUAAGAUCGGUGAACUGUUUAAUGACACGGAACAAACAAGAAACUCUUAAAUUUACCCUUAAAUAAUGUUACAUUUAUAAAAAUUUAUAUAAAUUCAGUUAUAAUUCUUUGUUAUGGACUUAUAUGUAAACAUAUGUUACAUAUAAAACUUGUUAGAAGUGCUAAAAUAAAAACAAAUUAUAUAUUUUUAAAUUUCUCUUAUUUUCAACAUCUUCCUAAUUCUGCAAGGUGAAUGUAUAUACAGUAUAAGGUGUGUGUAUGGUGUGUAUGUGUGUAUGUAUGUGUAUGUGUAUAUGAAUGUAUGAAUCAAUGAAUUAAGAAUGAAUUCAUAUGUGAUUUAAUGUGAAAUUGAACAUGUACUAUCCAACAUCUAUUAACAGAAAUAACGGACCUUUAAACACUUUAAACCUAUAAACACUUAAUACUGAUAAGCCACUGUCUCGCUUCAGAAAUACCACACUGAAUAACAGAUUAGGAGUACAAACACCAUCAAGCCCAAUUUACAGAAAAGCAAAGAUGACUCUCCAAACAGGACUAAGAACACAAAGGUCGUCAUACAACUCCCAGAAACAUGGAGGCCUCCUACAGUAGGCCACAUAAUGUCCAAGAGCAUCCUGGGUUAAGCCUCCUUUGAAAGCAAUGACUGCCCUUAAGGUAAAUCUCU